UCAUAGCUCAGUCGGUAGAGCAUUCGGCUGUUAACCGAAGUGUCAUAGGUUCGAGUCCUAUUGA
Molecule: transfer RNA, 64 nt
Filed under: pig gut metagenome
Rfam family: tRNA
About the family: Transfer RNA (tRNA) molecules are approximately 80 nucleotides in length. Their secondary structure includes four short double-helical elements and three loops (D, anti-codon, and T loops).
Source: RNAcentral